UUUUGUCUGAAGAGGACCUGAGACUGGCUUUUGGUGAUGUAUUAUGUUGGAUGCUAGAAAAGACUAAGUGGCCAGGAAUUUGAGUGGCAGUUACAAGAUUGAAGGCUCAGUCAUCAGUUUUCCCCCUUUUGGUUCCCACCCAUCUGCAAGAGCCCAUUUUUAUUCUACCUGUGACUCAUCACUGAACGCCCCCACACUGAUGAUGGAAAAGACAAGACAUGUCCCCCGAAAUGUGUGUCAUCGAGCCAUCUGCUACUUUCUGUACUGUGAGCCUUCAAAUCCUUUUGCACCGGGAGGAGGGCACAUUCUUUAUGGUCUCUGCAAUCACAGACAGGAACACCCCCAAGCACCCAACCCCCAAAGACACUUCUCCAACUACACGGCUCGUGCACCGAGGAAUUGAAAUUUCUUUUGCAUUGGCUGGAAGCCUGGAGUCCUGUUUAGGGCUUUAUCCUGCCUUGGGUUGUUGCUCGAACAGGCUCUGGGCAGCUGUGACCAUCUCGGGGAAAGAGCAGCUCUCUGUUCAUGGCUAUCAGCUAGAGGGAGAAAAGGCUGCCACUUGCAGGAUCAUGGACAAAUCAUCUCCUUUUAAAGAACAAAAUUAUAAUUUUUAAUGCCUACAGUAAUUCUGAUCUAUGCCAGUGUAUUCAAAAUCCCAAGCAAAAACAGAUCAAGUUCCAGCAGCUGAGCCUGCAGGCUGCAAUAUCUGAAACACUGUAAUUUGGCAAUGUGAUGGGAAGACAUAUUUCCCCCUGUGAAAACUGAGGUUUGUGUGGAGCAAAUA
Non-coding RNA from Lepisosteus oculatus (spotted gar), 784 nucleotides. The record is from RefSeq and is a predicted model, not a curated record. NCBI's taxonomy places the organism in Eukaryota, Metazoa, Chordata, Actinopteri, Semionotiformes, Lepisosteidae.